Molecule: ribosomal RNA, 390 nt
Filed under: Triticum aestivum (bread wheat)
Lineage: Eukaryota; Viridiplantae; Streptophyta; Magnoliopsida; Poales; Poaceae
Description: partial small subunit ribosomal RNA
Source: RNAcentral
AUGAGCGCGGUGGCCGUGGCGCCGCAGGAGACGGCCUCCUUGGGCACCUUGCCGACGCGGUCGAUGGCCUCGGCGAAGAUGACCCCCAUGCCCAUGUGGAGGUGCGGCUCGAUGUGGCAGUGGAACGCCCACACCCCGGGGUUGUCCGCCACGAACCGCAGCGCCGUCCACCCGUACGGGAAGAUCACCGCCGUGUUCCGCAGCGGCGGGUUCACCAGGUUCAGCCUCGCCGCGUCGGCGGCGUCGCCCCUGUACGCGCCCUCGCCGUACCCCAGCACCCAGAAGUCGUGGCCGUGCAGGUGCCACGGGUGCACCUCGCUGACGUUGUGCUGGAGCGCGUUGGCGUUCUGGAGCACCACGUCCACCGUGGUGUUGUGGCGGAGCACGUAG